RNAcentral lists this transfer RNA (66 nucleotides) under Polioptila caerulea. Its description in RNAcentral is "tRNA-Ser". The record is from RNAcentral. Lineage: Eukaryota; Metazoa; Chordata; Aves; Passeriformes; Certhiidae.
GAGGAGAGGGUGUACCAACAGGAGCUGCUAACUCUUGCCUCUGAGCAUAAAACCUCAGUCUCCUUA